AUUGAACGCUGGCGGCAUGCCUUACACAUGCAAGUCGAACGGUAACAGGUCUUCGGAUGCUGACGAGUGGCGAACGGGUGAGUAAUACAUCGGAACGUGCCUAGUAGUGGGGGAUAACUACUCGAAAGAGUGGCUAAUACCGCAUGAGAUCUACGGAUGAAAGCAGGGGAUCGCAAGACCUUGUGCUACUAGAGCGGCCGAUGGCAGAUUAGGUAGUUGGUGGGAUAAAAGCUUACCAAGCCGACGAUCUGUAGCUGGUCUGAGAGGACGAUCAGCCACCCUGGGACUGAGACACGGCCCCGACCCCUACGGGAGGCAGCAGUGGGGAAUUUUGGACAAUGGGCGAAAGCCUGAUCCAGCAAUGCCGCGUGCAGGAUGAAGGCCUUCGGGUUGUAAACUGCUUUUGUACGGAACGAAAAGCCCCGGGUUAAUACCCUGGGGUCAUGACGGUACCGUAAGAAUAAGCACCGGCUAACUACGUGCCAGCCGCCGCGGUAA
This 498-nucleotide ribosomal RNA is filed under the name uncultured bacterium. RNAcentral describes it as "partial 16S ribosomal RNA". It matches the Rfam family "Bacterial small subunit ribosomal RNA", at positions 30 to 523 of the family's 1533-position model. The record is from RNAcentral.